RNAcentral lists this ribosomal RNA (460 nucleotides) under Salmonella enterica subsp. enterica serovar Cerro. RNAcentral's name for it is "bacterial SSU rRNA". It matches the Rfam family "Bacterial small subunit ribosomal RNA", at positions 27 to 476 of the family's 1533-position model. The record is from RNAcentral. Lineage: Bacteria; Pseudomonadati; Pseudomonadota; Gammaproteobacteria; Enterobacterales; Enterobacteriaceae.
GAUUGAACGCUGGCGGCAGGCCUAACACAUGCAAGUCGAACGGUAACAGGAAGCAGCUUGCUGCUUYGCUGACGAGUGGCGGACGGGUGAGUAAUGUCUGGGAAACUGCCUGAUGGAGGGGGAUAACUACUGGAAACGGUGGCUAAUACCGCAUAACGUCGCAAGACCAAAGAGGGGGACCUUCGGGCCUCUUGCCAUCAGAUGUGCCCAGAUGGGAUUAGCUKGUUGGUGAGGUAACGGCUCACCAAGGCGACGAUCCCUAGCUGGUCUGAGAGGAUGACCAGCCACACUGGAACUGAGACACGGUCCAGACUCCUACGGGAGGCAGCAGUGGGGAAUAUUGCACAAUGGGCGCAAGCCUGAUGCAGCCAUGCCGCGUGUAUGAAGAAGGCCUUCGGGUUGUAAAGUACUUUCAGCGGGGAGGAAGGUGUUGUGGUUAAUAACCRCAGCAAUUGACGUU